Molecule: ribosomal RNA, 301 nt
Filed under: uncultured bacterium
Lineage: Bacteria
Description: partial 16S ribosomal RNA
Rfam family: Bacterial small subunit ribosomal RNA
Source: RNAcentral
CAGCCGCCACGGUAAUACGUAGGUGGCAAGCGUUGUCCGGCAUUAUUGGGCGUAAAGGGCUCGCAGGCGGUUUCUUAAGUCUGAUGUGAAAGCCCCCGGCUCAACCGGGGAGGGUCAUUGGAAACUGGGAAACUUGAGUGCAGAAGAGGAGAGUGGAAUUCCACGUGUAGCGGUGAAAUGCGUAGAGAUGUGGAGGAACACCAGUGGCGAAGGCGACUCUCUGGUCUGUAACUGACGCUGAGGAGCGAAAGCGUGGGGAGCGAACAGGAUUAGAUACCCCGGUAGUCCCUGUCUCUUAUAC